Long non-coding RNA from Thunnus maccoyii (southern bluefin tuna), 410 nucleotides. RefSeq lists it as uncharacterized. The record is from RefSeq and is a predicted model, not a curated record. NCBI's taxonomy places the organism in Eukaryota, Metazoa, Chordata, Actinopteri, Scombriformes, Scombridae. The transcript has 4 exons.
AAACGUGCUGCAUCUGCUGCUGCAUGAUUAUUGGCAGCUGGGAGGCCGAAGGGGACAAAGGUUUAAUGUUGUCACAGGGCCAUGUUUCCCAUCCUGCUAUGGAAGAACACAUGUGAACCGUGCUCCCUUCCCUUUGCUGUACAAGAGACUCUUCAGCAACAUGACCAGUGAAUACCCUGUUACCUCAAUGAUGGCAAACAACUGAGGAAAAAAAUUACAGCAUAUUUUGAGGGGAAAUCCCAAAGCAUCAAGUCGCUCUCUUGUGAGGUACUUUUACUGUGUUGCUUCUGAUUGGACCCUUUUGCCUGUAAAGAGGAAAACGCAGGUUGAGGAGCUCCUGGAAGAGCUCGGUUACAUUGUGGUUGGUCUUGGCCGACGUCUCCAUGAAGGCGCACUUCCACUGAUUGGCC